Molecule: small nuclear RNA, 103 nt
Organism: Nomascus leucogenys (northern white-cheeked gibbon)
Lineage: Eukaryota; Metazoa; Chordata; Mammalia; Primates; Hylobatidae
Source: Ensembl
GUGCUCACUUUGGCAGCACAUAUACUAAAAUCAGCAUGAUAGAAGAUUAGCAUGGCCUCUGUGCAAGGAUAAUGAGCAAAUUCAUGAAGCAUUUCAUAUUUUU